UUGAACGCUGGCGGCAUGCUUUACACAUGCAAGUCGAACGGUAACAGGUUAAGCUGACGAGUGGCGAACGGGUGAGUAAUGCAUCGGAACGUGCCCGAUCGUGGGGGAUAACGCAGCGAAAGCUGCGCUAAUACCGCAUACGAUCUGAGGAUGAAAGCGGGGGACCGUAAGGCCUCGCGCGAUCGGAGCGGCCGAUGUCAGAUUAGGUAGUUGGUGGGGUAAAGGCUCACCAAGCCGACGAUCUGUAGCUGGUCUGAGAGGACGACCAGCCACACUGGGACUGAGACACGGCCCAGACUCCUACGGGAGGCAGCAGUGGGGAAUUUUGGACAAUGGGCGCAAGCCUGAUCCAGCCAUGCCGCGUGCGGGACGAAGGCCUUCGGGUUGUAAACCGCUUUCAGCCGGAAAGAAAUCGUCAAGGCUAAUAUCCUUGAUGGAUGACGGUACCGGAAGAAGAAGCACCGGCUAACUACGU
This 475-nucleotide ribosomal RNA is filed under the name uncultured bacterium. RNAcentral describes it as "bacterial SSU rRNA". It matches the Rfam family "Bacterial small subunit ribosomal RNA", at positions 29 to 506 of the family's 1533-position model. The record is from RNAcentral.